RNAcentral lists this ribosomal RNA (479 nucleotides) under Tropidosaura gularis. RNAcentral describes it as "partial 16S ribosomal RNA". It matches the Rfam family "Bacterial large subunit ribosomal RNA", at positions 1923 to 2606 of the family's 2925-position model. The record is from RNAcentral. Lineage: Eukaryota; Metazoa; Chordata; Lepidosauria; Squamata; Lacertidae.
UUAAACGGCCGCGGUAUCCUAACCGUGCAAAGGUAGCAUAAUCACUUGUCCUCUAAAUAAGGACUAGAAUGAAUGGUCAAAUGAGGACUAAACUGUCUCUUACAUCCAACCAAUAAAACUGAUCUUUUAGUUAAAAAGCUAAAAUAAACCCAUAAGACGAGAAGACCCUGUGGAGCUUCAAACCAAGCCCACAAACAUGCCCACUUGGUUUUUAGUUGGGGCGACUUCGGAGUACAAAAAAACCUCCAAUCGGACCUCACGUGCUAAGACAAACAUGCCAAAACACAUUAAACCCAGACCCAGUAGUUUAAAUACUACCUGACCAAUGAACCAAGUUACCCCAGGGAUAACAGCGCCAUCCUCUUCCAGAGUCCAUAUCGACAAGAGGGUUUACGACCUCGAUGUUGGAUCAAGACUACCUAAUAGUGCAACCGCUAUUAAAGGUUCGUUUGUUCAACGAUAAAAGUCCUACGUGAUCU